This 67-nucleotide transfer RNA is filed under the name Brachyistius frenatus (kelp perch). RNAcentral describes it as "tRNA-Cys". The record is from RNAcentral. Lineage: Eukaryota; Metazoa; Chordata; Actinopteri; Embiotocidae.
AGCUCCGAGGUGUUUCCACAUAUUAGAUUGCAAAUCUUAAGUAGCAGGCUAACCCCUGCCGGGGCUU